CGAUUUGUCAGAUAACAAAAUUACCAGCCUGGCGAAAAAAGACAUGGAACACUUGACACAUUUGCGUCAACUGUUACUAUCCAGGAACAAACUGCAAAACGUCGAGGAAGGGACUUUUGAAUCGCUGACAGAUUUACAAACAUUACGAAUGAUUGCCUGUGAUUUGGAAGAUGUGCCGCCGAGAAUGUUUGCAACACAAAAUCGUUUAGUCACUCUAGAUUUAUCGUACAACAUCCUCACAAGGCUUGUCAGAGGAAGUUUGUUCGGCCUGCACA
This is a long non-coding RNA of Patiria miniata (bat star), 275 nucleotides long. RefSeq lists it as uncharacterized. The transcript has 4 exons. The record is from RefSeq and is a predicted model, not a curated record. NCBI's taxonomy places the organism in Eukaryota, Metazoa, Echinodermata, Asteroidea, Valvatida, Asterinidae.